GUUUCCUUAGUAUUAACUAGUACAGUUGACUUCCAAUCAACCAGUUCUGGUCCACGAUCCAGAAGGAAACA
RNAcentral lists this transfer RNA (71 nucleotides) under Arctocephalus forsteri (New Zealand fur seal). RNAcentral describes it as "tRNA-Gly". The record is from RNAcentral. Lineage: Eukaryota; Metazoa; Chordata; Mammalia; Carnivora; Otariidae.